RNAcentral lists this transfer RNA (76 nucleotides) under Bacillota bacterium. RNAcentral's name for it is "tRNA-Phe". It matches the Rfam family "tRNA". From Rfam's summary of the family: Transfer RNA (tRNA) molecules are approximately 80 nucleotides in length. Their secondary structure includes four short double-helical elements and three loops (D, anti-codon, and T loops). The record is from RNAcentral. Lineage: Bacteria; Bacillati; Bacillota. RNAcentral also lists the same sequence under 1 other name.
GCCUUGAUAGCUCAGUUGGUAGAGCAAAGGACUGAAAAUCCUUCUGUCGAUGGUUCGAUUCCACCUCAAGGCACCA